Molecule: ribosomal RNA, 336 nt
Filed under: uncultured Pseudomonadota bacterium
Lineage: Bacteria; Pseudomonadati; Pseudomonadota
Description: bacterial SSU rRNA
Rfam family: Bacterial small subunit ribosomal RNA
Source: RNAcentral
AACGAACGCUGGCGGCGUGCUUAACACAUGCAAGUCGAAUGCGAGGCGGGUUUUCGGACCGGUAGUAGCAUGGCAGACGGGUGAGGAACACGUAUCUGACCGGACGCUUGGUGGGGGAUAGUCCUGCGAAAGUGGGUUGAAUACCGCAUACGCUGUAUCGGGGAGCCGAUGCAGGAAAGUUGGCCUCUGCAAGCAAGCUGACGCUGAGUGACGGGGAUGCGGCCUAUUAGCUAGUUGGUGGGUAAGGCUUACCAAGGCGACGAUGGGUAGCUGGUCUGAGAGGAUGAUCAGCCCACACUGGGACUGCGACACGGCCCAGACUCCUACGGGAGGCAG